CCCUUAGAUGUUCUGAACCGCACGCGUGUUACACUGAUGCAUUCAACGAGCUUUACCUUGGCCGAGAGGCCUGGGAAAUCUUUUUAGCAUGCAUCGUGAUAGGGAUUGAUUAUUGCAAUUAUUAAUCAUGAACGAGGAAUUCCUAGUAAACGCAUUUCAUCAAAAUGCAUUGAUUACGUCCCUGCCCUUUGUACACACCGCCCGUCGCACCUACCGAUUGAGUGGUCCGGUGAAGUCUCGAGAUUGUGGCAAUCUCCUUUAUUGGAGUUUGACUGCGAGAACUUGCCUAAACCUUAUCACUUAGAGGAAGGAGAAGUCGUAACA
This 324-nucleotide ribosomal RNA is filed under the name uncultured eukaryote. RNAcentral's name for it is "partial 18S ribosomal RNA". It matches the Rfam family "Eukaryotic small subunit ribosomal RNA", at positions 1470 to 1796 of the family's 1831-position model. The record is from RNAcentral.